RNAcentral lists this transfer-messenger RNA (399 nucleotides) under bovine gut metagenome. It matches the Rfam family "transfer-messenger RNA". From Rfam's summary of the family: Bacterial tmRNA, also known as 10Sa RNA or SsrA, is named for its dual tRNA and mRNA-like properties. Its role is to liberate the mRNA from a stalled ribosome. The record is from RNAcentral.
GGGGCCGUCAUGGUUUUGACGGAGGAGAAUCAACUUAAUGGCUGCAGUGGUCUGGUAAACCUAAAGACCAAACCAAAAUAACUGACAAUAACGUCAAACCCUGGAUGGUGCGUUCCAACGCCGCCGUCCUCGCUCGCGCUUAAUUAAGCACCCACCUUUGCGGUUCCGCGGUAGCGGACGAGCACGCUCCCCACGCUUUCUCACCCCGGGCGUGGACGAGUGCCAUAUAGAGGUGAUGGUGGGCUGACUCGGCUUAACUCAUCCCACGAGAUCUCUUAGCCUCGCCUAGCGCAUUGGGCACCGUUAUCGGCGCUAGGUCAAACCAUAACGACGCCUAAACUGUAGGCGCUGUUAGGGGGACUCCUUCGGACCUGGGUUCGAUUCCCAGCGACUCCACCA